This 170-nucleotide non-coding RNA is filed under the name chicken gut metagenome. RNAcentral describes it as "malK-I RNA". It matches the Rfam family "malK-I RNA". The record is from RNAcentral.
CCGUCCUACUCCAUUCCAAUAGGGCGGUGGGAGCCGUAUAUAAAGGAGGAAAUCCGCCGGUCCGGCGGUGCGGCAGUGUGGAGACCUGUCGUAACGUCCGCAGAGUUUCGCUCUCUGCGGGCAAGGGGGUAUUUGCGGAGGCAUUGCCCCUACGGCCAAAACGUAUGGCA